CCCUUAGAUGUUCUGGGCUGCACGCGCGCUACACUGAGUAAUUCAAUGGGUAAGGGAACGCUAGAGCAUUACCUAAUCUUGAAAUUUGCUCGUGAUGGGGAUCGACGGUUGCAAUUUUCCGUCGUGAACGAGGAAUACCUUGUAGGCGCAUGUCAUCAUCAUGCGCCGAAUACGUCCCUGCCCUUUGUACACACCGCCCGUCGCUCCUACCGAUUGAGUGAUCCGGUGAGGCUCUGGGACCUGGACGGAAAGAGCGUUUCGCUUGUUCUGUUUGGGAAACUUGGUCGAACCUUAUCAUUUAGAGGAAGGAGAAGUCGUAACA
This 322-nucleotide ribosomal RNA is filed under the name uncultured eukaryote. Its description in RNAcentral is "partial 18S ribosomal RNA". It matches the Rfam family "Eukaryotic small subunit ribosomal RNA", at positions 1470 to 1796 of the family's 1831-position model. The record is from RNAcentral.